UACGGAGGGUGCAAGCGUUACUCGGCAUCACUGGGCGUAAAGGGCGCGUAGGCGGCCUAGCAAGUCUGGUGUGAAAGCCCAGGGCUCAACCCUGGAAGGGCACUGGAAACUGUUAGGCUUGAGUUCCGGAGAGGAGGGGGGAAUUCCCGGUGUAGCGGUGAAAUGCGUAGAUAUCGGGAGGAAUACCGGUGGCGAAGGCGCCCCUCUGGACGGAAACUGACGCUGAGGCGCGAAAGUGUGGGUAGCAAACAGG
This 253-nucleotide ribosomal RNA is filed under the name uncultured bacterium. RNAcentral describes it as "partial 16S ribosomal RNA". It matches the Rfam family "Bacterial small subunit ribosomal RNA", at positions 524 to 776 of the family's 1533-position model. The record is from RNAcentral.